This 781-nucleotide ribosomal RNA is filed under the name Liparis pterosepala. RNAcentral's name for it is "eukaryotic LSU rRNA". The stretch from base 329 to 484 matches the Rfam family "5.8S ribosomal RNA". Lineage: Eukaryota; Viridiplantae; Streptophyta; Magnoliopsida; Asparagales; Orchidaceae. The record is from RNAcentral.
UGACUCGGCGAGAAGUCCAUUGAACCUUAUCAUUUAGAGGAAGGAGAAGUCGUAACAAGGUUUCCGUAGGUGAACCUGCGGAAGGAUCAUUGUUGAUAUCUAAAAUAUAUCGAGUCAUUCGAAAAACCCGUUACAUAAGUGUUGGCACAUGCCUUCAUAAAACAUUCAUCCCAUUUGAUGCCUCAUUUCCUUUGGAUUUGUUACACGAUGGAGGAUGAAAAAACUUUAAACCGGCGCAGCUUCGCGCCAAGUAUAGUUUGAAAACACGUGAGCCUUUUAUUGGGUUUUUAGUGGCAUGGAGUGCAUCCCAUUCCAUAUGUAUCAAUAUGACUCUCGGCAAUGGAUAUCUCGGCUCUUGCAUCGAUGAAGAGCGCAGCGAAAUGCGAUACGUGAUGCGAAUUGCAGAAUCCCGUGAACCAUCGAGUCUUUGAACGCAAGUUGCGCCCGAGGCCUAUCGGCCAAGGGCACGUUCGCCUGGGCGUCAAGCGUUGCAUCGCUCCGAGCUAUCUCCAUUCCAUCCAUGGAUGUGUUGGAGAGGGCUCAGAUGCGUAGAGUGGCUCCUCGUGCCUAUGGUGCGGCGAGCUGAAGAUUGCAGCAUUAUCUCGUUUGGCUGGGAGAAACAAGGGGUGGAUGUAAAAAAUUCAAAUGUUGUUUUGUGCCGGUAUAAAAAGAGAUAAAGCUCAUUUGAUCCAAACCCAUGCGCAUGUCCAAAGUCGGCGGCAUGGAAUGCGACCCCAGGAUGGGCGAGGCCACCCGCUGAGUUUAAGCAUAUUAAUAAGCG